GACGAACGCUGGCGGCGUGCUUAACACAUGCAAGUCGAACGGAAAGGCCCUGCUUUUGUGGGGUGCUCGAGUGGCGUACGGGUGAGUAACACGUGAGUAACCUGCCCUUGACUUUGGGAUAACUUCAGGAAACUGGGGCUAAUACCGGAUAGGAGCUCCUGCUGCAUGGUGGGGGUUGGAAAGUUUCGGCGGUUGGGGAUGGACUCGCGGCUUAUCAGCUUGUUGGUGGGGUAGUGGCUUACCAAGGCUUUGACGGGUAGCCGGCCUGAGAGGGUGACCGGCCACAUUGGGACUGAGAUACGGCCCAGACUCCUACGGGAGGCAGCAGUGGGGAAUAUUGCGCAAUGGGCGGAAGCCUGAUGCAGCAACGCCGCGUGCGGGAUGACGGCCUUCGGGUUGUAAACCGCUUUCGCCUGUGACGAAGCGUGAGUGACGGUAAUGGGUAAAGAAGCACCGGCUAACUACGUG
Molecule: ribosomal RNA, 468 nt
Filed under: uncultured bacterium
Lineage: Bacteria
Description: partial 16S ribosomal RNA
Rfam family: Bacterial small subunit ribosomal RNA
Source: RNAcentral